GGGCCGAUAGCUCAGUUGGCUAGAGCGCUUCUAUGGCAUAGAAGAGGUCAGGGGUUCGAGUCCCCUUCGGUCCACUA
RNAcentral lists this transfer RNA (77 nucleotides) under Minisyncoccota bacterium. RNAcentral's name for it is "tRNA-Ala". It matches the Rfam family "tRNA". From Rfam's summary of the family: Transfer RNA (tRNA) molecules are approximately 80 nucleotides in length. Their secondary structure includes four short double-helical elements and three loops (D, anti-codon, and T loops). Lineage: Bacteria; Bacillati; Minisyncoccota. The record is from RNAcentral.